UCUGAUGAGGACACCUUCUGCCUUUGUUAUCGAAUGACUGACUAAGGCUAGUCAUGGCUUAUGUAAAACAUGGACUCAUCCAAAGAUUCAGUCAAUAUAGUUACUGUGUACACAAAUCAAAGCAAGCUGUUGGCUCUGUUUGACAGCUACCCUUUGACAUUGUAUGCCUGCAAGGUUUAGUGGUGCACUGUAUAGACUUAACUUGCAUUCAAAGCUCGCGUGAAAUAUGAUUGUGUGGUACUGAAGAUUCACUGUGCAGCAAUGCUGGAAACACUGAUAAGUCAUCCAGCCAGAUAUGUGACUCAGGACUGGUCAUCCUUAGUACCCACAAUCCCCUUGCAAAAAAACCCUGUAAGUCUUGCUUAUGGGCAUUGGUGUCCCAGUAAGGAGCUCUCCAAGUAGCAUCAACAAAUCUCAGCUCUAAUGAGUCCUUUUGAAUGUCUAAAUGUGAGCCGAGGUCAGGCAUUAAAUAAGUGCUGCUCUUAAAAUAGAAAAUAGGAAAACAUGGUACACUUGUACCAAGCACUUCAAUUGUGAGAUACUACUGGGGGAAAAGUUUCUGAAGGUGAGGUGACAAAGAUAAGAUGAUAAACACUUGGCAUCUAUUUUCAGCACAUGGAGGUUUCACUGAGCCAAGACCUGAAUUAGAUGUCUAUUGAUUCUUUCAAAGGACUAUGCACUGAUACUAAUUUGAAUCCAGAACUAGACUUAAUCUGGAUCGGAGAGUUACUGCUCAUUGAGUUUGAGAGAUAUAUAGAUAGAUCACAUUUUUUUUAAAUUCAGCACUGGAUGUUCUAAAUUAGGAGUAGUUAGGUAUGAUCAGUUGAGUUUGGUAGGUGUAAUGAUGAUCCAAUGUCCUUUGACUUCCUCUCCUCCAUGGGCUCUGAUCAAUGACCAUCUCUCUCUGUGACAGCAAUCAAUGCUUUUGAUUAGUGUACUCCUGCCAGAGAACACAGCGGGACAGCACUGGCCUCUUGUUCUCUUUAUUUUGUGUGUGUGAAACUAAAGUACGCACUGAUUGAUGGUCAUGGACUCGCUUUCAUUCUCAGUAUGAGACUCUUUAGACUUGAAUGAAGAGUUUAUUGAUGUUUUUGUUUUAACGUCUAUUUACAGGAAGCUAUAUUACUCUAGUUCUGUAAUGCAU
Long non-coding RNA from Onychostoma macrolepis, 1144 nucleotides. RefSeq lists it as uncharacterized. The transcript has 3 exons. The record is from RefSeq and is a predicted model, not a curated record. NCBI's taxonomy places the organism in Eukaryota, Metazoa, Chordata, Actinopteri, Cypriniformes, Cyprinidae.